AAGCCUGGAAAAGGAAAAGGAGAAUUCAAAACUAAGAUUUGUCCUUACCCACCUUGCACGUCCUCAGAAGAUGUAAAAUCCUACCAUGGUCAAGGGGAUCCUUGGGUCCAUAUUUAGCAAGACUGUCUCUGUCACCAAAAAUAAUGGAACACCACUCAGGACAACCAACAUUAAAAAGUCAACUACUUCAACUUUAAUCUUCCAGCUAAAACAUCUGUGUUUUAUACAGCCUUCAGAAAGGCAAAGGCCUUCUUGAAGACAUGUUCUGGAUCAACAUUUUUCACUUGAAAUGAAAGUACAGAAACCAGAAGAGACCUUGAAAUUCUCAUAGGACUAGAAAGACAAAUUUGGAAAUGUGAGGACACAAGAUUCCAAAGAGAAGAGACGAAUAAAUAACUGAACACUUGGAGAGCCAAUUUUCCCUCUAAGAAUUUUCCUAUAUCUGAGAUGAAUGACUUGAGAAGAGAUAUCCUCUGAAAAGCAUGGCAUUUAUUUUCUAUAGUCUCUUUGUAAUAUAAGAAUUGAAAUUCAGGAUUUGCCACAGGAUGCACCCCCACCACCACUACAGUGAAUUAACAGGUUCUCAGAAGAAAACACCAAAAAUCUACAUCUUAAGAUCUGAUAUGAAAAAGUAGGUAGCCUUUCAAAAAAUAAAACAUAACCUUGGUUCAGGACAGUUUCUGAUUAGAGUAAAAUCACAAGCCACAUUCUAUAUGCCCAGCUGAGAAAGGGUAAAGACAAUAGCAAAAUAUUAGCUGCUGGCUUUAUAAAUUUUAGUAUAUAAUGCCUGUUUUUAAAUUUGAAAAAUUAUUAAGCAUGCUAACAGACAGGAACAUAAGAUUGCAAACCAAGAAAAAUGAAAAAGGGAAAAAAAGACCCAAAUAUGAUCAAGAUAGUAACUUAGCAAAAAUUUUUAAGUCACUGUGUUAGCAUGUAUAAGAAUAUAGAAACAAAGAUGGAGAAAAUGUAUUAAGAGAUAGGCCUUCACCAGAGUUUUGUCAUUUACUGAAAAAAUGUAAAUUCUGUAACAAAAAUAUUAUAAUUGAAAUUAAGAAUCUAAACAGAUCUAUUAACAGCAGUUUUGACACACAAGAGAACAAAAUUACUCAACUGGAAGGUAUAUCAACAAAAAAUCAAGUAGAAGAACUGAAAUGAAAAAUGAAAAUAAGUAUCAAAAAGAGUGAAACAUAUUUGUGCUACACAAUGAUGGGUUCUAAGAAAAGAAGUAGAAGACAUGCAUGGAGGGGAAAAAAAAGUAUGAGAAAUUUCUAAAACUGAUCAAAGAAUUCUAGAAUUCUGUAUGCAGUAAAAUUAUAUUUCAGCUGAGCACAAUACACACUCCUGCAAUCCCAGUUACAUGGGAAGAUCACAAGCUCAAGGCCAGCUUGGGUAACUUAGUGGUACAGUAUGUCAAAAGGAACAAAG
Heterocephalus glaber (naked mole-rat) is the source of this 1425-nucleotide long non-coding RNA. RefSeq lists it as uncharacterized. Lineage: Eukaryota; Metazoa; Chordata; Mammalia; Rodentia; Bathyergidae. The record is from RefSeq and is a predicted model, not a curated record.